Molecule: long non-coding RNA, 203 nt
Filed under: Vigna radiata
Lineage: Eukaryota; Viridiplantae; Streptophyta; Magnoliopsida; Fabales; Fabaceae
Description: long non-coding RNA (VRAD_LNC000547)
Source: RNAcentral
AAAAUAUUCCCCCUUUGAGAGGUAUUCAAAAGAAAAGUACAGAAAAAGCUCAAGAAAAAGAAAAUAUCUAAGCAGAAAAAGAGAAGAAGAGAAAAGAAGAAAAGUAAUACUCUCGAGCUUUGUUAAGACCUCGACCAUUGUACCGAAUCGUAUCAAGUAAUAUAAAACAGUAAGACCAAGUAUCGUAUCCCAAAAGACUCACA